RNAcentral lists this ribosomal RNA (210 nucleotides) under uncultured bacterium. RNAcentral's name for it is "partial 16S ribosomal RNA". It matches the Rfam family "Bacterial small subunit ribosomal RNA", at positions 568 to 776 of the family's 1533-position model. The record is from RNAcentral.
UGUGUAGGCGGAUCGUUAAGUACCUUGUGAAAUCCCACGGCUUAACCGUGGAACUGCUUGGUAUACUGGCGAUCUUGAGCCACUUAGGGGCUACCGGAACAAAUGGUGGAGCGGUGAAAUGCGUAGAUAUCAUUUGGAACGCCAAUGGUGAAAACAGGUAGCUGGGAGUGUGCUGACGCUGAGACACGAAAGCCAGGGGAGGCAAAACGG